RNAcentral lists this ribosomal RNA (254 nucleotides) under uncultured bacterium. RNAcentral's name for it is "partial 16S ribosomal RNA". It matches the Rfam family "Bacterial small subunit ribosomal RNA", at positions 524 to 777 of the family's 1533-position model. The record is from RNAcentral.
UACGAAGGGGGCUAGCGUUGCUCGGAAUCACUGGGCGUAAAGGGUGCGUAGGCGGGUUUUUAAGUCAGAGGUGAAAUCCUGGAGCUCAACUCCGGAACUGCCUUUGAUACUGGGGAUCUUGAGUCCGGAAGAGGUGAGUGGAACUCCGAGUGUAGAGGUGAAAUUCGUAGAUAUUCGGAAGAACACCAGUGGCGAAGGCGGCUCACUGGUCCGGUACUGACGCUGAGGUGCGAAAGCGUGGGGAGCAAACAGGG